RNAcentral lists this ribosomal RNA (425 nucleotides) under uncultured bacterium. Its description in RNAcentral is "bacterial SSU rRNA". It matches the Rfam family "Bacterial small subunit ribosomal RNA", at positions 359 to 776 of the family's 1533-position model. The record is from RNAcentral.
GAAUAUUGGACAAUGGGCGCAAGCCUGAUCCAGCCAUGCCGCGUGUGUGAAGAAGGCCUUCGGGUUGUAAAGCACUUUUGUACGGGAAGAAAAGCACUCGGUUAAUACCCGGGUGUCAUGACGGUACCGUAAGAAUAAGCACCGGCCACAUUCGUGCCAGCAGCCGCGGUAAUACGAAGGGUGCAAGCGUUGUCCGGAUUUAUUGGGUUUAAAGGGUGCGUAGGCGGCCAAUUAAGUCAGUGGUGAAAUCCUUCCGCUUAACGGGAGAACUGCCAUUGAAACUGGUUGGCUUGAGUACGGUUGAAGUAGGCGGAAUUUAUGGUGUAGCGGUGAAAUGCAUAGAUACCAUAAAGAACACCGAUAGCGUAGGCAGCUUACUAAGCCGUAACUGACGCUGAGGCACGAAAGCAUGGGGAGCGAACAGG